AUGGCUAAUACAUGCGCAAUCGCCUCCUUCUCUGGAGGGGCUGUGUUUAUUAGAUACAAAACCAACCCACUUUGUGGAGCCCUGGUGAUUCAUAGUAACCGAACAGAUCGCAGUUGGCUUCGGCCCGCGAUGGAUCUUUCAAGUUUCUGACCUAUCAGCUUUCGACGGUAGGGUAUUGGCCUACCGUGGCAGUGACGGGUAACGGGGAAUUAGGGUUCGAUUCCGGAGAGGGAGCCUGAGAAACGGCUACCACAUCUAAGGAAGGCAGCAGGCGCGCAAAUUACCCAAUGAAAACAGUUUCGAGGUAGUGACGAGAAAUAACAAUACAGGGCAUUUUAUGCUCUGUAAUUGGAAUGAUGGGAAUCUAAAACCCUUUCAGAGUAACAAUUGGAGGGCAAGUCUGGUGCCAGCAGCCGCGGUAAUUCCAGCUCCAAUAGUGUAUAUUAGAGUUGUUGCAGUUAAAAAGCUCGUAGUUGGAUUUCUGUCGUGGUCAUCCGGUUCCGCCCGUAUGGGUGUGCACUGUGUUUGCCCUCGGCUUUCUUCCGUAGCCUUCCGCUUCAUUGCGYGUUGGUGUUUCGGAACUUUUACUUUGAGAAAAAUAGAGUGUUUCAAGCA
This 615-nucleotide ribosomal RNA is filed under the name Isospora sp. RNAcentral's name for it is "SSU rRNA". Lineage: Eukaryota; Apicomplexa; Conoidasida; Eucoccidiorida; Eimeriidae. The record is from RNAcentral.